GACGGAGGGUGCGAGCGUUAAUCGGGAUUACUGGGCGUAAAGCGCAUGUAGGCGGCCGAACAAGUCAGGUGUGAAAUCCUCGGGCUUAACCUGGGAAGUGCACUUGAUACUGUCCGGCUAGAGUUUGGCAGAGGAAAGUAGAAUUCCCGGUGUAGCGGUGAAAUGCGUAGAUAUCGGGAGGAGUACCAGUGGCGAAGGCGGCUUUCUGGGCCAAUACUGACGCUGAGGUGCCAAUGCGUGGGGAGGAAACACC
This 253-nucleotide ribosomal RNA is filed under the name uncultured bacterium. RNAcentral describes it as "partial 16S ribosomal RNA". It matches the Rfam family "Bacterial small subunit ribosomal RNA", at positions 524 to 776 of the family's 1533-position model. The record is from RNAcentral.